CCUGGUUGUCUAGGACCUCCCCUCACCUGGUUGUCUAGGACCUCCCCUCACCUGGUUGUCUAGGACCUCCCCUCACCUGGUUGUCUAGGACCUCCCCUCACCUGGUUGUCUAGGACCUCCCCUCACCUGGUUGUCUAGGACCUCCCCUCACCCGGUUGUCUAGGACCUCCCCUCACCUGGUUGUCUAGGACCUCCCCCUCACCUGGUUGUCUAGGACUUCAUACUGACACAUUAAAAAGUGAAAUAACUAAAACCAGCAGAUGACUGCCCUCCAUGGAAUGAGUUUGGACACCUUCUGAUCUAGUGCCUUUCGACAGAAGCACAGAUCCAGGAACAGUCUCCAUUUCCUCAACCUUAACUAGUGUAGUAUAAGUUAACUACUAGGGGGGGGGAUCUGCAUGAAAACUGACCUGAGAUCAGUGUCGUGUUUUAUAAGAUGACCACUUCCUCUCUUUUACAGGUGACAUUCCUUUCCUCCUUAAACAUGUGUCGCUUUGUAUUCCUUCCCCCCCACUGAUUCAGUAGCAGGAAGGAGUUUUGAGGUGUCGCGUUGUAUUCCCUCCCCCACUGAUUCAGUAGCAGGAAGGAGUUUUGAGGUGUCGCGUUUUAUUCCCCCCCCCCCCCCCACUGAUUCAGUAGCAGGAAGGAGUUUUGAGGUGUCGCGUUGUAUUCCCUCCCCCACUGAUUCAGUAGCAGGAAGGAGUUUUGAGGUGUCGCGUUGUAUUCCCUCCCCCACUGAUUCAGUAGCAGGAAGGAGUUUUGAGGUGUCGCGUUUGAUUCCCCCCCCACUGAUUCAGUAGCAGGAAGGAGUUUUGAGGUGUCACGUUUAUUCCUCCCCCCACUGAUUCAGUAGCAGGAAGGAGUUUUGAGGUGUCGCGUUUGAUUUCUUCCCCCACUGAUUCAGUAGCAGGAAGGAGUUUUGAGGUGUCGCGUUUUAUUCCCUCCCCCCCACUGAUUCAGUAGCAGGAAGGAGUUUUGAGGUGUUACGAUAUCAUAGAGCCUUUUAGCGUCACAGAAUACCAGUCUACUGAUAGCAUUAAUACAACGUUUGUUAGUUUGUACAUAUACCAGUAAUAGGAUCCAUGUUUCUCUAUCAUGUCUUUUACAUUUCUAGGAGAAGUUGUUGUUUUAACUAUUUUUUUUCAGAUGAUCUGUCUGUCUGUGGAAGAUUUAUUGUUAAUAAUUGUAAAGGAUCAAAAAUAAAUGGGAGUUUGUAGAGA
Long non-coding RNA from Oncorhynchus tshawytscha (Chinook salmon), 1220 nucleotides. Lineage: Eukaryota; Metazoa; Chordata; Actinopteri; Salmoniformes; Salmonidae. The record is from Ensembl.